AAACCGUGAUGAGGGCAUAUCCUCAAUAACUCUUUGAACCUCUCCCAAGCUUCUUGUAAUGUUUCAUCACUCUCUUGCUUGAAUGUCAUAAUUUGAGACCGCAUAU
This is a small nucleolar RNA of Beta vulgaris subsp. vulgaris (sugar beet), 106 nucleotides long. It matches the Rfam family "Plant small nucleolar RNA R71". Rfam says of the family: R71 is a member of the C/D box family of snoRNAs containing the C (UGAUGA) and D (CUGA) box motifs. Multiple nearly identical copies of this snoRNA have been identified in Arabidopsis, and it is thought to function as a 2'-O-ribose methylation guide for 18S ribosomal RNA. Lineage: Eukaryota; Viridiplantae; Streptophyta; Magnoliopsida; Caryophyllales; Amaranthaceae. The record is from Rfam.